This 54-nucleotide ribosomal RNA is filed under the name Fusarium dimerum. Its description in RNAcentral is "partial 28S ribosomal RNA". Lineage: Eukaryota; Fungi; Ascomycota; Sordariomycetes; Hypocreales; Nectriaceae. The record is from RNAcentral.
UGACCUCGGAUCAGGUAGGAAUAACCGCUGAACUUAAGUAUAAUAAGCGGAGGA